GAUGAACGCUGGCGGCGUGCCUAAUACAUGCAAGUCGAGCGAACGGACGAGAAGCUUGCUUCUCUGAUGUUAGCGGCGGACGGGUGAGUAACACGUGGAUAACCUACCUAUAAGACUGGGAUAACUUCGGGAAACCGGAGCUAAUACCGGAUGAUAUUUUGAACCGCAUGGUUCAAAAGUGAAAGACGGUCUUGCUGUCACUGAUAGAUGGAUCCGCGCUGCAUUAGCUAGUUGGUAAGGUAACGGCUUACCAAGGCAACGAUGCAUAGCCGACCUGAGAGGGUGGUCGGCCACACUGGAACUGGGACACGGUCCAGACUCCUACGGGAGGCAGCAGUAGGGAAUCUUCCGCAAUGGGCGAAAGCCUGACGGAGCAACGCCGCGUGAGUGAUGAAGGUCUUCGGAUCGUAAAACUCUGUUAUUAGGGAAGAACAUAUGUGUAAGUAACUGUGCACAUCUUGACGGUACCUAAUCAGAAAGCCACGGCUAACUACGUG
RNAcentral lists this ribosomal RNA (497 nucleotides) under uncultured bacterium. Its description in RNAcentral is "partial 16S ribosomal RNA". It matches the Rfam family "Bacterial small subunit ribosomal RNA", at positions 28 to 507 of the family's 1533-position model. The record is from RNAcentral.